CAACUAAAUGGAAUCACACACCCUCCUAAAGGAUCCGUUUGAAGCUUUCAUGUGUAGGCAACGAGAAUGACACUUUUUCCGUCAAGCUAUACACAAAAUGAGUAACUGCAAAUCACGGGAUCCCACAGACGUGUGUCUUACCAGGAAGACUUUACAACGGUUUAAAAUGUAGACUUUGUUAGAAUUUUAUUCAAAAAAAUGGCUCCCAAACGUUUUUAGUCCUCCGACCUGGGACAAGUUAAUUAACGUCUCUAACCCUCAGUUUGUUUGUUACACAAUGGGAUGAUGAUGAUAGUACCUACUUCACAGGACUGUUGUGAGGACUGAAUAAGAUAAGAAUUAACGAGGCUUUAGCCCUCACAUGGCUGGGUCGGCGUUCCACGCUCAGGUGUCCUGUUGGAACCACUGUGUGACGAUUAUGUGGCGAAGAGAUGGGCUGGUAAUGAAAGUGAAUUAAACAUAUCUGGGGAUACACUGUUGUACAUCUGAUGUCGUAAGAAAAACUCUCAUCCAGACUCGAUAAUUUAAAAAUAUGUGUGCGUACCUACACCCAUACAUACGCGCACAGGUGUUCACGUGGCCUUACCUGUUUUGAAUGUUGUAUGCAGGGAAUACAGGGGAGAUCGUAAGUAAAAUUACAUCCAACUAUGCAAAUUUAAUGAAAAUUUUAAAUCUAA
Herpailurus yagouaroundi (jaguarundi) is the source of this 677-nucleotide long non-coding RNA. RefSeq lists it as uncharacterized. NCBI's taxonomy places the organism in Eukaryota, Metazoa, Chordata, Mammalia, Carnivora, Felidae. The record is from RefSeq and is a predicted model, not a curated record. The transcript is spliced from 2 exons.